Molecule: ribosomal RNA, 713 nt
Filed under: uncultured bacterium
Lineage: Bacteria
Description: bacterial SSU rRNA
Rfam family: Bacterial small subunit ribosomal RNA
Source: RNAcentral
GUCGAACGAAGCACCUGAGAAUGAUUCUUCGGAUGAAGUCUCUUGUGACUGAGCCGCUGACGGGUGAGUAACGCGUGGGUAACCUGCCUCACACAGGGCCAUAACAGUUGGAAACGACCGCUAAUACCGCAUAACCCGCUGGUGCCGCAUGGCACUGACGGAAAAGAUUUUAUCGGUGUGAGAUGGACCCGCGUCUGAUUAGCCAGUUGGCAGGGUAACGGCCUACCAAAGCGACGAUCAGUAGCCGGCCUGAGAGGGUGAACGGCCACAUUGGGACUGAGACACGGCCCAGACUCCUGCGGGAGGCAGCAGUGGGGAAUAUUGCACAAUGGGGGGAACCCUGAUGCAGCGACGCCGCGUGAGUGAAGAAGUAUUUCGGUAUGUAAAGCUCUAUCAGCAGGGAAGAAAAUGACGGUACCUGAUUAAGAAGCCCCGGCUAACUACGUGCCAGCAGCCGCGGUAAUACGUAGGGGGCAAGCGUUAUCCGGAUUUACUGGGUGUAAAGGGAGCGUAGACGGUGAUGCAAGUCAGAAGUGAAAGCCCGGGGCUCAACUCCGGGACUGCUUUUGAAACUGUGUGACUGGAGUGCAGGAGAGGUAAGCGGAAUUCCUGGUGUAGCGGUGAAAUGCGUAGAUAUCAGGAGGAACACCAGUGGCGAAGGCGGCUUACUGGACUGUAACUGACGUUGAGGCUCGAAAGCGUGGGGAGCAAAC